RNAcentral lists this ribosomal RNA (484 nucleotides) under uncultured bacterium. RNAcentral describes it as "partial 16S ribosomal RNA". It matches the Rfam family "Bacterial small subunit ribosomal RNA", at positions 30 to 507 of the family's 1533-position model. The record is from RNAcentral.
AUUGAACGCUGGCGGCAGGCCUAACACAUGCAAGUCGAGCGGAUGAAGGGAGCUUGCUCCUGGAUUCAGCGGCGGACGGGUGAGUAAUGCCUAGGAAUCUGCCUGGUAGUGGGGGAUAACGUCCGGAAACGGGCGCUAAUACCGCAUACGUCCUGAGGGAGAAAGUGGGGGAUCUUCGGACCUCACGCUACCAGAUGAGCCUAGGUCGGAUUAGCUAGUUGGUGGGGUAAAGGCCUACCAAGGCGACGAUCCGUAACUGGUCUGAGAGGAUGAUCAGUCACACUGGAACUGAGACACGGUCCAGACUCCUACGGGAGGCAGCAGUGGGGAAUAUUGGACAAAGGGCGAAAGCCUGAUCCAGCCAUGCCGCGUGUGUGAAGAAGGUCUUCGGAUUGUAAAGCACUUUAAGUUGGGAGGAAGGGCAGUAAGUUAAUACCUUGCUGUUAUGACGUUACCAACAGAAUAAGCACCGGCUAACUUCGUG